Molecule: ribosomal RNA, 466 nt
Filed under: uncultured bacterium
Lineage: Bacteria
Description: partial 16S ribosomal RNA
Rfam family: Bacterial small subunit ribosomal RNA
Source: RNAcentral
GAUGAACGCUGGCGGCGUGCUUAACACAUGCAAGUCGAACGGAAAGGCCCAAGCUUGCUUGGGUACUCGAGUGGCGAACGGGUGAGUAACACGUGGGUGAUCUGCCCUGCACUUCGGGAUAAGCCUGGGAAACUGGGUCUAAUACCGGAUAGGACCACAUUUUGGAUGGUGUGGUGGAAAGUUUUUCGGUGUGGGAUGAGCUCGCGGCCUAUCAGCUUGUUGGUGGGGUAAUGGCCUACCAAGGCGUCGACGGGUAGCCGGCCUGAGAGGGUGUACGGCCACAUUGGGACUGGGAUACGGCCCAGACUCCUACGGGAGGCAGCAGUGGGGAAUAUUGCACAAUGGGCGCAAGCCUGAUGCAGCGACGCCGCGUGGGGGAUGACGGCCUUCGGGUUGUAAACGCCUUGCGCUAGGGACGAAGCUUUAUGUGACGGUACCUGGGGAAGAAGCACCGGCUAACUACGUG